GAUGAACGCUGGCGGCGUGCCUAAUACAUGCAAGUCGAGCGAACAGACGAGGAGCUUGCUCCUCUGACGUUAGCGGCGGACGGGUGAGUAACACGUGGAUAACCUACCUAUAAGACUGGGAUAACUUCGGGAAACCGGAGCUAAUACCGGAUAAUAUAUUGAACCGCAUGGUUCAAUAGUGAAAGACGGUUUUGCUGUCACUUAUAGAUGGAUCCGCGCCGCAUUAGCUAGUUGGUAAGGUAACGGCUUACCAAGGCAACGAUGCGUAGCCGACCUGAGAGGGGGAUCGGCCACACUGGAACUGAGACACGGUCCAGACUCCUACGGGAGGCAGCAGUAGGGAAUAUUCCGCAAUGGGCGAAAGCCUGACGGAGCAAAGCCGCGUGAGUGAUGAAGGUCUUCGGAUCGUAAAACUCUGUUAGUAGGGAAGAAAAAAUGUGUAAGUAACUAUGCACGUAUUGACGGUACCUAAUCAGAAAGCCACGGCUAACUACGUG
This 497-nucleotide ribosomal RNA is filed under the name uncultured bacterium. RNAcentral describes it as "partial 16S ribosomal RNA". It matches the Rfam family "Bacterial small subunit ribosomal RNA", at positions 28 to 507 of the family's 1533-position model. The record is from RNAcentral.